CUGGCGAUGGUGUAACCUGGUAGCAUACGGGACUGUGGAUCCUUUGGUCCGGGUUCAAAUCCCGGUCGUCAGCCCA
This 76-nucleotide transfer RNA is filed under the name Candidatus Woesearchaeota archaeon. Its description in RNAcentral is "tRNA-His". It matches the Rfam family "tRNA". Rfam says of the family: Transfer RNA (tRNA) molecules are approximately 80 nucleotides in length. The record is from RNAcentral. Lineage: Archaea; Nanobdellati; Candidatus Woesearchaeota.